GGGCAGGUAGAAUGCAGCUGCUCUCUGAACUAGAGAGAGGAAAGUCCGGGCUCCAAAGGAAAGCGCAACAGGGUAAUGCCUGUCUUUGCUUUAGUUAAUAAAGCAAAAGGAUAAGAGUCACAGAGACGAGAAAAGUGAAACGAGACAAUCUCUGCGCGGAGCAAGGCGAAUAGUCCCGCCUUCUUUAUUCCUUUUUAGGAAUGAAGUUAGGGGUGAUCCGCCCGGAAACGGCGGGAGGGUAUUAAGCUGCUUAAGCCUUUAAGACCGCAAGGCCUAAAGUGCUAAGAGGAAUAGCUGCUUUAGAUGCGAAUAACCGCAAUCGACACAGAACCCGGCUUAUUCUGCCUGUCCUUUA
This 355-nucleotide RNase P RNA is filed under the name Candidatus Omnitrophota bacterium. Its description in RNAcentral is "Candidatus Omnitrophica bacterium RNase P RNA component class A". It matches the Rfam family "Bacterial RNase P class A". Rfam says of the family: Ribonuclease P (RNase P) is a ubiquitous endoribonuclease, found in archaea, bacteria and eukarya as well as chloroplasts and mitochondria. Its best characterised activity is the generation of mature 5'-ends of tRNAs by cleaving the 5'-leader elements of precursor-tRNAs. Lineage: Bacteria; Pseudomonadati; Candidatus Omnitrophota. The record is from RNAcentral.